This 375-nucleotide ribosomal RNA is filed under the name Triticum aestivum (bread wheat). Its description in RNAcentral is "partial small subunit ribosomal RNA". The record is from RNAcentral. Lineage: Eukaryota; Viridiplantae; Streptophyta; Magnoliopsida; Poales; Poaceae.
AUGCCAGCUUUACAGGGGUGUAUGCCAUGUAAUUUUGUGAUCAAUGUGGUGACUAGCACAAGCAUGCAAACUAGGCUUCGUGAUAAUGCUGAUUUUAGUCCCUGUUCUGCUGUUAUUGUGAUGCCAUGUAAACAUGUUGCUACAGAGAGAUACAUGCAUAUUUUGAGGUACUUCAGUAAGAGUGUUUUGAACAUAUGGUUAUGCUCUAUCCAUCCAUGGUCAUGGUUGCAAUUAUGGAGUAGUCUAGCAUGUAAUUUUCAUGCUCUACUUGUGCUUCAAAAUGUUUCCUGGCAGGUUGUUUACAUGUUAUUCAAUUUUGCCAAGGUUGUUGUAGUUGAUCCGUGUAUGCUACGAUGUUGUUCUUGCCAUGUAUAG